Chroicocephalus ridibundus (black-headed gull) is the source of this 6862-nucleotide long non-coding RNA. RefSeq lists it as uncharacterized. The record is from RefSeq and is a predicted model, not a curated record. The transcript has 5 exons. NCBI's taxonomy places the organism in Eukaryota, Metazoa, Chordata, Aves, Charadriiformes, Laridae.
UACAGAAAUGGUGUUACCUUAAAUAUCAGCAUUUCUUUAUUAAAGCUCUUAAAACUGUGUGUUCAUUUUUACAGCAUUUUUUAAAUGAAUGAGACUGGGAAAUGUUUUGUCAUGUUUUUAGCAAAGUGAGCACAUAAAGUAAACAUGUCUUCCAAAAUUUUUAACAAAACUUAUUAAAUACUUCAUUUCUUAAAUCACUGUGUCUAUAGACAGCUAACAAUUUUAUGGUUAGAAGUUUAAACUGUGUAUCUGACUGUGAAUUUACUAAUUUCCACUAAGAUGUUUCUCUUGCAGGGGAAUCUUUCAUUGAGAUGAUUGAAAUCGCUGCAGUGAGAAUGGAAAUUACUUGGGCUCCUUUUCUUUUAAAAGCUGCAUGCAAGAACUGUGGUGCUCACAGUUCAAGUUUAUGCAUCAUAUAGAUGUUUUAAAAAGAGGAAAAAAAGCUUAUCUGCACUGGGGACUUGUUUUGACUUCAGGCUUCGCAGGUCUGCUACUGGUGCAGUUGCACAGGUAUGAACAUGACAUAGAUGAAUAUGAAUCCAAGUUGUUAUAAUUCAUAAAUAUGCAUCAUUUUACCAUGUAGAAUUUCAGCCUGGUGUAUGUACUGGUAAAAAUCAUGCUUUUUUUUUUUUCUGCCCCAGUUAUGCAUUUGAACUGGUGAAAUUACUGAUGGCUAAAACUUCAGACCUGAGCAGUAUUAGGUAGUUUACAGCUUUUCAUAAAGUAAACACUUUCACGUUUAGCUACUACAGGUCUUUUAAGAUAUGUGGCCAAAAUGAGGUUGACUACUCAGAAAAAAUAAGUUAUAUGGCUCAAAGUUGGAUGGCUUUCUCACUGAGGCUUCGUUAAGUAGCACUAUGUUAUAUUUGCUUAUCUGUAACUGCUUAAUACUAAGAUGCUGCACGUACAUUUCAGCCAUUUGAAAACUUAGAAACGCUUGGAAAGACUAAACCUGGUGGGUUAUAAAAGAAAAAGGCAUUAUUCUUCUGCUAUUCCCCUGCCUUUAAAAGGUCACUGAUUUUUGUUAGCACGCUGCAGACUGUGGUGCUUGCAGAGGGCCAUCCAUCCUGUUACUCUUGUAGAUACAGUAUUUUAAUGUAUCUAGGCUUUUUUUCCGUGACUUCUGUGAGUAAAUAUGAAUCUAAAGAGCUCAUCAGAAAACCAAUGGCCAAACCAUUUGUUCAUGACUAUUUCUUUGUGCCAGCGCAGGCCUUUGUGCGGACAGUGAAACAGGGUGCUUCCUCCUGGUUCACCCUGCAAACCCCUGUAACUGGCCCAAGGCAGGGGAUGGCGGGGAAUGGGAAGAAGCAGAAAAGGAAAGGUUGAACUGCCUUGUUUGGUGGCCAUAGCAGCUUAUAACAGUUCAGUGAUGUGAUGAAAAUACAGUUUGAGCAUUUGCAGAAACAGAGCUCAUCUGAGGAACCAAAGCUCCCAUCUGGAUUAAGAAAAUGGCUUCAAGUGCUUAUGAAAGCCUACUCAUAUUAUUCAGUUCCUAAACCUUUGAAAAAGAAUGUCAUAUUUUUCGCAUGGUUCACGGUUACCUUAAAUAACAUGAGCAAUUGUAUUUUCCGGAGGUUUACCUGCAUGGGUGGUGCCAUAGCCCAUGGCUGAAUGGAACUCCCUCUGCAUUGCAGCUCUGGGGUCCUAAGGAUUGUGUCUGAUGUAAGAAAGGAAGGCUCGCUGUUUUCAGUUCAGGUGCUUAUUUUCUGCUAGGCUUAGGAGCUGUACGGAGAAAAGAUGCUUAAUUCAUAUAAAAGGGAAAGCAAAGAUAGGCCUGCUUGAAAAUAAACUGAGACUAGUAGCUGUAAAGGAGUGAAGGCAACUAGUGAGAGGAGCAUGUCUAAAAACGUAAUGUGGAAAGGUUACAGCUGAGAACUGAUAGAGGAAGGACGGCUCUGAUGAACUGGAAGGAUUGGGAUAGGUUGGGCAAAGAUUUGGGGGGGGUUGUUUGUUUCUUGAAAUUGUAAGAAGCAGCAGCCUGACAGAAGGAAUGUGGCCUGAGGCAAAGAGAAUGAGUCAGACUUGGGAGAAGGGGCUUGCACACCUCGGGUCAUUCCUAACAUUGACUAGAGCGCUCUGCACUUCAGAUCCAGAAGGGAAUGUAGACUAUUAGGUAGCAGCUUUUGUUGUCAUCUGUGAAAUCAUUGUCUAUUUCAUCCCCCUCAUCAUAUUCCACACAGAAGAGGGCAGCCUUAUUAGUGCUCUCAUCUACUUCAUGAAGUUUGGCCCUGAAAAGGGUACUGGUGGGUGAAAAGCUGGACAUGAGCCGACAAUGUGUGCUCGCAGCCCAAAAGGCCAAUUGUAUCCUGGGCUGCAUCAAAAGAAGUGUGGCCAGCAGGUCAAGGGAGGUGAUUCUGCCCCUCUACUCCACUCUGGUUAGACCCCACCUGGAGUACUGCGUCCAGCUCUGGAGCUCCCAGCUUAAGAAGGAGAUGGACCUGUUAGAGCACAUACAGAGGAUGCCCACAAAAGUGAUCAGAGGGCUGGAGAGCCUCUCCUGUGAAGACAGGCUGAGACAGUUUGGGUUGUUCAGCCUGGAGAAGAGAAGGCGCUGGGGAGACCUUAUUGCAGCCUUCCAGUACCGAAAAGGGGCCUGCAGGAAAGAGAGGGACAAACUUUUUAGCAGGGCUUGUUGUGAUAGGACAAGGGGUGAUGGCUUUAAACUAAAAGAGGGGAGAUUUAGACUAGAUAGAAGAAAGAAAUUCUUCACAAUGAGGGUGGUGAAAUACUGGCACAGGUUACCCAAGGAGGUGGUAGAUGCCUUAUCCCUGGAAACACUCAGGGUCAGGUUGGAUAUGGCUCUGAGCAGCCUGAUGUAGCUGAAGAUGUGCCUGCUAAUUGCAGGGGAGGCUGGACUGGAUGGCCUUUAAAGGUCCCUUCCAACCCAAUCUAGUCCAUGAUUCUAUGAAAAGGAAUCCCAAAAUAACAGACUAGUUGAGGUUGGAAGGGACCCCUGAAGAUUAUCUAGUCCAAGCAGGGUGAGGUAGAGCAGGUUGUUUAGGGCUGUGCCCAGUCAGGUUUUAAAUACCUUCAAGGAUGGAGACUCUGCAACCUCUCCUGUUCAGAUAGAAUCUCUUGCAUUUCAUUCUGUGCCUGUUGCCUCCUGUCCUGUCACUGGACACAACUGAGAGGAGCCUGGCUAUGUCUUCUUUACUCUCCCUUACCCCCAUCAGCAGGCAUUUAUAAACUUUGAUAAGAUCACACACAGACAAGCUUUUUCCUCUCCAGGCUGUAGUCCCAGCCCUCUCAGCCUUUCUUCAUGUGAAAGAUCAUCUUUCUGGAAGUAAAUAAAAUGUUUCAACUAAUAUGGGAAUUGAAACUCAAAGGGGGAAAUGCUUUUGGGGGUAAAAGAACAAAACACAACCUAAGAACUUAACUGUAAAAACUGUAAACAAGAAUAUGAAGAUCACAAAAUGAAACACUAAGAAGUUAGAUAACUCCAGCUUAAAGAUUCUGCGAUCUUCAUUUGCCCCCUUGUGUUAGAGUGCUAUGAAGCAAUCUUCAUGAUCGUAUAGAGUAUUUAAUCUAAUGACAGUAUUGGCCUGGUGUGGUUCUGAGCUAGGGAAGAUGUUUGUGGGGCUGUGCAAGCAAGAAGCCUGAUGCUGCUGUAGGUGCUGCAGAAAUUGGUAGAAAAUUCUGUAGGAAAUGGAAUAAAAGACUGCAAGUAGAGGAAACCAUGUCUUCAUGGUUAUGUCAAAUGACAAGUCCUAAGAAUCGGACGUGAUGUUUAUUUUUCUGCCGCCUUCUGGGGUGAUAAACAAGUUACCAGGCCCUUGUUUUCAUGCUACUUGUAUUCCUCACUUCAGAGGCGUUUGAUUAAACACUGGCUGUUCACAUUUGCAGCUGAGCUUCUUAGGAGUUGUCAUUUGAAUUAAAAUACUAUGUAAUGUUAUGUCUGUUGACAGUCUUGUCUCUUCAACAGGGUACCUCAAACUGUUGCAUACUACUAUAGUUCCUACACCUCCAUGUCACAUUUAAAAUAGGGGUAAUAGACACCUCGAAGGGCUGUUGGUUUUUUGUUUGUUUAAAAAAAAAGACCCAACACUUUUGUUUAGUAGCUGUACUACAGUAAUGCAUUUCCUCAUGGAUUUUUCUGUGGCAAUUAUUGAAUUUGAUCUCAGAGGAAGAGGUAAGUAUUGUGCAUCUCUUAAAGACCAAAUCUGCAAUCAACUGUCCUUGUUACCAGCUCAAGCCAAGAAACCGAGUUUCCACGUUGUUGAUUUAUGGUCUGUUCAACCAGUCCUGUGAAUUCCAAAAUACUCUGAUUUGUGUCCUACGUUGUCACUGGUUCAUUUUCCAUAUAUAGCUAUUAUUAUUAAACACUUGUUUGUCCCAUUUUUGCCAUGUGGCUUCAUGAGUAACACCUUCGAUAUUCUGCAGGAUCUUUCAUAUGCUAAAGGUAAUGUUCAUGUUUGAACUUCAGAGUAUUUUAGAAUAGAUUUACCCAUAAAGCUCUAUGUUGCAGAAAGAAUGAACUAGUUAAACUGUAACACUUAAUUUCUUAUGUACAGUGGUGAACAGUGCAUCUUUAAAAAUGUAAAGUGACUUAGACCUUAGAUUUAGGAGUUCUACAGGCCAUUGUUCUUCAUGUUUCAAAAGCAGUUUUCUUGGUCCUGCAUAUGGCACACUUUACUGAGUGAGAGUGGUUCUGUACUUGAUAUUCUGGUAUAGAGAUCUGAAAAUGUUUCAGCUUGUCCCUUAAUCAUGGUAUCUUGUUAAGUGUUGGGGGAAGUCUCUCCUAAUCAGGUAGCAAUACUGGCAGUAAUGAUUGAAAUUUGAAAUGUUUAUAGACUGCUUUGAUGUUCUUCAUCACCACCUCCUGUCAUAGAAGUCACAAGAAAUGAUUGAUAGAAGUAUAUCCGAAGUGGUAUGUCUGUUGGAGCUUCUGCUAUUUAACAAGGCACUAUUUGUGGUUGCAAUGGGUGACCCAAGGAAACUUUCCAGGAAGAACUCUCUGAGGCACAGGAUCUUCUGCUCUGAGAUAAACAAUACAGAGGUGAUCUCGUGCGUCAGUGACUUUACUGUUCUGGGAGUCCACUUGUGUCUUCAAAAGCAGAAGAGAGAGCUCACUGCUCGCCCUAAGAGAACAAGAGGGCUGCCCCCCAGCACUGCGGCACUCGGUUUCUAGCAUCUCAGGCAGUGGAACAGUUCGUACAUUUUUGCUGAAUCCAAGGAAGAAUAAAAAGGCAAAUACAGCAGUAAGUGCACUGAAAUCAACAGAUUUUGCACCUUCCCAGGAAAAAGGAAUUCUCUUGAGAAAGUUGGCAAUGGCUGGAAGAAGCGGAUCGUGUCAGUGAUCACAAAUUCCAACUUCACUGGAAAAAAAAUGUCUAAAUGUUUCAAAAUCCCAUUCCUAUUUAAUCAAAACCAGAGCUAGAUGCGAGCGAUCAGAGCUCCUGGUUCUGUCGUAUGCAAAAGCAGGACCAAGCCACCAACAAUACGCUCUAGUCCAGCAGAGAUCGUAUUGUGAGAUACCAGGGUUGACUGCCUGCCAAGACUUGGGUGAAAGUACUCAGUUUAACACAUAAUCUGUUUUUUUGACCAGAAGGCUUUUAAAAUCCCUCAGACUCGUAGCGAAUCCGGGCUCCCAUCAGACAAAGUCGCUUCUACUCAUACAGCCAUUGUUUUCUGUGGAAACGCACCAGUGUGAACCACUCUGCUGAUGACACGUGACAGAGUCCGCUCUCGGCUGCAUCGCUGCCUGUUUGGGACCUCAGAAGGGAAAGUGCAGUAAAAAUAUAAUGGCCAUUGUUUCUUCUAAAUAACUGCCUCAGUGCCUGCGGGAUGUGCUGCGCACUGCUCCGAAGAGGGCACAGGAAAAUUGCCAUCCUGGUUCAGCAACACUUUUAAAGUAACAUAAACAAUCUCGCAAGGUGGAGGGCAGCAUCUGCUUCAGGCCAGCUGAAGAUCCUCCCAGUAAAUUGAUGCUAUUUAUAUAUUAAUUUUUCUGCAAACGAACAUACUUUCACUCCUUCCUUUGUGAUUACUGACAUUUAGUUGUAGCUUGAAGCUACACCGCCUGUAGCUCUACCAUUGCUGCUUCCACUUUCUGUCUAAAGAAAUCCAGGAAGCUUCUUUCCUUUGGAGAACCAGCUUAAUACCAAAUUAUCUUCAGGUAAAAGUCACGGGCAUCCUAAUGGUUUCAGUCAGACACUUUCACCAGAUUUCUGUCAGGUUACUGACACACACACAGGCUCUCAAACUUAAUUAAGCAACUAUCAGUUAAAAACAACAAACCAAAAGCAUUCUAUAAGAGCCUGGUCAUGUUCCCUGCAGGUGCACAAGUGACAGAAGGCGACACUUCUCAACUCACUGCUAAGUAAGAAUAAAUGCUAGAAGAAUUUUGGGAAUCCAAACUUGCCAACAGUCACAUGCUUCGCUUCCAAAAGAGGCACAGUCUCACAGUACGCCCUUGGACGAGGUGAAGGUAAAGCUCGUAUCAUGGAAUCAUAGAAUCGCGGAAUGGUUCGGGUUGGAAGGGACCUUAAAGGUCACCUAGUUCCAACCCCCUGCCAUGGGCGGGGACACCUCCCACUAGACCAGGCUGCUCAAAGCCCCAUCCAGCCUGUACUUGCACUGCUGUAUUUUUCCAGAGCCAAAAUAUUGCAUUCACUGAUGAUGUUUGUGCUGAAUAAAAAUUAACCCACGGGGGGAAUCAGAAAGUGUUCAGCACUCGCCCGUCCCAAGUUGUUGCUGAAAUGGUUGUACCAAACGUUCAUUUUGCCAAAGCUGUAGAGCAUGACUGAUGGCAUAGGUUAAAACUCCAGGACUUUUCAAAAAUGGAAAUAUUUCUUAUUUUCUUUCACUUUAUUAAAAAAAGAAAAAAAGUAAUCCAAACUUCAAUUUUCAAAGUGGCUGCUAC